RNAcentral lists this ribosomal RNA (484 nucleotides) under uncultured bacterium. RNAcentral describes it as "partial 16S ribosomal RNA". It matches the Rfam family "Bacterial small subunit ribosomal RNA", at positions 28 to 507 of the family's 1533-position model. The record is from RNAcentral.
AUUGAACGCUGGCGGCAUGCUUUACACAUGCAAGUCGAACGGCAGCGCGGGCUUCGGCCUGGCUGCGAGUGGCGAACGGGUGAGUAAUGCAUCGGAACGUGCCCAGUAGUGGGGGAUAGCCCGGCGAAAGCCGGAUUAAUACCGCAUACGCCCUGAGGGUGAAAGCGGGGGACCGAAAGGCCUCGCGCCAUUGGAGCGGCCGAUGUCGGAUUAGCUAGUUGGUGGGGUAAAGGCUUACCAAGGCGACGAUCCGUAGCUGGUCUGAGAGGACGACCAGCCACACUGGAACUGAGACACGGCCCAGACUCCUACGGGAGGCAGCAGUGGGGAAUUUUGGACAAUGGGGGCAACCCUGAUCCAGCCAUGCCGCGUGCGGGAAGAAGGCCUUCGGGUUGUAAACCGCUUUUGUUCGGGAAGAAAUCCUCUGGGCUAAUACCCCGGGGGGAUGACGGUACCGGAAGAAUAAGCACCGGCUAACUACGUG